GGGAGACGCGUGCGUCACCAGUCCCGUUUCCACUCAGCUGCAGCCUGGUUCACGUCAGCCCUCAGUGGCUCCUGCCCUUUGCUGAGUCAUUCGAGCAGUUGCCUUUUCUACUGGGACCCUGACGCUGAGUCACUCCUGCCCAUCUUCUCCACUCUUCCAAGCCCCAGCACUAGAGGUUGUUAGUGAAUGGAAUUGUGUAGCAGAUGGAGCCACUGGUGUGUGUGGCCCUCAGAAGCUCAGGCCCCUUGGGAAUCUGACUCGGCUAUCUUCUCCCACUUCUGGGCCACAGCCACAGAGGCCAUGGAGUUGGUGGCCAGAGACUCUGGCCCCCUCCUAUCUGCAGUCACCUGGACACAGGCGAUCAUCUUGCCAUUCUAGGCUGCCACUCUCCCCCUCAUCCUGUAGGACCAAUACUCAUCCUGCUGCAGGAUACUGCUCUACGUUCCAGCAGUGUGGUGAUCAUCACCUCACGGGGCAUCAUCAGGAGCAUACACCCUCUUCAGCCUGAUGCCCAGGCCACUGUGGACAUCACAGCACAGGCAGCCCUGGGGACCACAACUCAAGUGAUGUCAUUAAAAGGCCCUCCCACCUCUCAGAGAGUGGAUACCACAGGCCAAUGUUGGCUCUACAUGGAAAUCCCUCACACCCUUCUCUCUCCUCACCUCUUACACACCCCUUUUCCUAGCUCAGGAGCCUGUUGCCUAGGUGAUGCUUGGUUGGUUUCUGUGAUGAUGACAUCCUGUUACCCCAGGAAGCAUGGUUGAUAGCAUGCUGUCUGAGUGAUGACCUACUGAAGCUCUGCCCCUCACCAAGUCAGUUCAUGUGACUCCUUGAGCAUCUGUGUUCUCUGAGACCACAAACCCCAGAUAAUGGGUAAAAGAAAACCCACCUGGUCUUGGGGCACCCCUUCAUCAGUUCUUCCUCCAGCACCCCAAUGGCUGCCAGCCAACUCAUAGCUCAUCUCCUUCUCACAUCCGUCCCUUCUCCUCUUCUCUCUCCUCCCUCCCUCCUAAACUCUUCUCAGCUCUGGGAAUAAAUCUGUUCAGCUGAUCUUGGCAA
RNAcentral lists this long non-coding RNA (1059 nucleotides) under Cricetulus griseus (Chinese hamster). RNAcentral describes it as "lncRNA (ENSCGRG00015034581.1)". Lineage: Eukaryota; Metazoa; Chordata; Mammalia; Rodentia; Cricetidae. The record is from RNAcentral.